UAAGGAGGGUGCAAGCGUUACUCGGAAUUACUGGGCGUAAAGCGCACGUAGGCGGCGGAGCAAGUCAGGGGUGAAAGCCUGGAGCUCAACCUGGGAAUUGCAUUUGAUACUGCAUUGCUGGAGUACGGAAGAGGUAGGUGGAAUUGCGAGUGUAGCGGUGAAAUUCGUAGAUAUGCGCAAGAACACCAGUGGCGAAGGCGGCUUACUGGCCCUAGACUGACGCUGAGGCGCGAAAGCGUGGGGAGCAAACAGG
Molecule: ribosomal RNA, 253 nt
Filed under: uncultured bacterium
Lineage: Bacteria
Description: partial 16S ribosomal RNA
Rfam family: Bacterial small subunit ribosomal RNA
Source: RNAcentral